RNAcentral lists this ribosomal RNA (864 nucleotides) under Heterosigma akashiwo. RNAcentral describes it as "partial Bacterial large subunit ribosomal RNA". It matches the Rfam family "Bacterial large subunit ribosomal RNA", at positions 1832 to 2703 of the family's 2925-position model. Lineage: Eukaryota; Raphidophyceae; Chattonellales; Chattonellaceae. The record is from RNAcentral.
CGAAAGUCGACGUAUAGGGUGUGACGCCUGCCCGGUGCUGGAAGAUUAAAUGAUGGGGUGCAAGCUCUUGACUGAAGUCCCAGUAAACGGCGGCCGUAACUAUAACGGUCCUAAGGUAGCGAAAUUCCUUGUCGGGUAAGUUCCGACCUGCACGAAUGGCGUAACGACUUCCCCACUGUCUCCAGCAUCGACUCAGCGAAAUUGAAGUCCCCGUGAAGAUGCGGGGUUCCCGCGGUCAGACGGAAAGACCCCGUGCACCUUUACUGCAACUUCAGAGUGGCAUUAGGAAAGAAUUGUGUAGAAUAGGUGGGAGGCUUUGAAACUUGGGCGCCAGUCCGAGUGGAGCCAUAAUGUGAAAUACCACCCUAUUGUUUUCUGGUGUCUAACCUAGAUCCGUUAUCCGGAUCAGGGACCCUCUGUGGUGGGUAGUUUGACUGGGGCGGUCUCCUCCUAAAGAGUAACGGAGGAGUACGAAGGUGCGCUCAGACCGGUCGGAAAUCGGUCGUAGAGUAUAAAGGCAAAAGCGCGCUUGACUGCGAGACAGACACGUCGAGCAGGUACGAAAGUAGGUCAUAGUGAUCCGGUGGUUCUGAAUGGAAGGGCCAUCGCUCAACGGAUAAAAGGUACUCCGGGGAUAACAGGCUGAUACCGCCCAAGAGUUCAUAUCGACGGCGGUGUUUGGCACCUCGAUGUCGGCUCAUCACAUCCUGGGGCUGAAGCCGGUCCCAAGGGUAUGGCUGUUCGCCAUUUAAAGUGGUACGCGAGCUGGGUUUAGAACGUCGUGAGACAGUUCGGUCCCUAUCUGCCGUGGACGUUUGAGAUUUGAGAGGGGCUGCUCCUAGUACGAGAGGACCGGAGUGGACG